AACUUUUGACAAUGGAUCUCUUGGUUCCGGCAUCGAUGAAGAACGCAGCGAAAUGCGAUAAGUAAUGCGAAUUGCAGAAUUCCAGUGAGUCAUCGAAUCUUUGAACGCACAUUGCGCCCUUUGGUAUUCCGAAGGGCAUGCCUGUUCGAGCGUCAUUAUCACCCCUCAAGCCCCGUGCUUGGUGUUGGACGGCCGGUCGAGCGAUCGACCCCUCCUAAAGACAAUGACGGCGGCCUGCGGUUCCCCCGGUACACUGAGCUUUUAACCGAGCACGUAUCGGACCAGGGCACCCGGGACCCGGUCCUCUCCUUUAACUAGGAAACUUCUAAGGUUGACCUCGGAUCAGGUAGGAAUACGCGCUGAACUUAAGCAUAUCAAUAAGCGGAGGCU
This 390-nucleotide unclassified non-coding RNA is filed under the name uncultured Herpotrichiellaceae. RNAcentral describes it as "sequence contains ITS2". The stretch from base 1 to 155 matches the Rfam family "5.8S ribosomal RNA". The record is from RNAcentral. Lineage: Eukaryota; Fungi; Ascomycota; Eurotiomycetes; Chaetothyriales; Herpotrichiellaceae.